This is a non-coding RNA of Pantherophis guttatus, 6899 nucleotides long. The record is from RefSeq and is a predicted model, not a curated record. Lineage: Eukaryota; Metazoa; Chordata; Lepidosauria; Squamata; Colubridae.
UCUCUUUCUCAGGAAAUGCGGUUGCCUCACCCUAGUUCCGAGGGACAUUUUGUUCCGGGCCGUAAACUGUGAAUCGCGGCUUGGUCGCCGUGGCCACUUUUGUUUUGCUUUGCUGCCGUCACUAUGAUUCCCCUGCCUGUGGUGGUCUGCGUGCUGGGGGGUUGGUGCACCAUAUACAUAACCGACACGGUACUGAAGUCAUCUUCUCUGAAAGAGCCUUAUGAGGAAUGGCUUGUAUCCUAUGGACUGUCAGUCUCUCCAUUCCAUGUGCGAUGGCAGACAGCUUUUUUCAACCGCCUUUUCUACACCUGGGGAAGAUGGAAGCCAAGAUUUCUUUAUCUCUGGUUUAACAUAGGGAUGGUUUUUGGCAUAGCAGCUAUGUUUGGUUCUGUGGUUCUGCUUGGGAAGACAUUGACACAGACUCUGUCACAGAUGUUAACUGAAAACCCUGCUAGUCAAAGUGAUCAAAUGCUGCAGGUUGUGGUACCUGGUGUAAACCUUCCCAUCAGCCAGCUGUCCUAUUUCUUCACAGCAAUCCUCAUCAGUGGUAUUAUACAUGAAGUUGGUCAUGGAGUGGCAGCUAUUAGAGAACAAGUUCGGUUUAAUGGCUUUGGAAUUUUUAUAUUUAUUGUCUAUCCUGGAGCAUUUGUUGACCUAUUCACUACUCACUUACAACUAAUAUCUCCCAUUCAGCAGCUAAGAAUAUUUUGUGCAGGUGUCUGGCAUAACUUUGUGCUUGGUGUUGUGGGUCUUGUAUUUCUCUUCUUUCUACCUGCUAUUCUUUAUCCAUUUUAUUACACUGGUGCAGGAGCACUUGUUACUGAAGUCACUCAGGAUUCUCCUGCUAAUGGUCUUAGAGGUCUUUUUGUUGGUGACCUUGUCACCAGUCUGCAAGAUUGCUCAGUUUAUAGUGUGGAAGACUGGAAUGCCUGCCUGGGAAAGAUCUAUCAGAAGCCACAAAAUGGCUAUUGCAUAAAAUCAUCAAUACUACAGCAGCUAAGCUUCUCAACUAGAGGUUUUAAAAGACUUGAUGGCACUGUUGAAUGUUGUAACAACAAUAGCCUCUCAGAUAUCUGCUUUUCAUACAGUAAUAAUCUGAACAGCCACAUGCCUCCAGCUUCUUACCUUUGCUUUUCGGACUGAAUCUCGAGCCGCUGGUCGCAGAACACCUGCCUUGCUUCGCCUGCUGCAAUCCAUCUCAUUGGCAAGCAACUGAAUCUGCCUGCCUGCCUGCCUUCUGCCUUCAAUUGGUAGCAACCUUUAACAGGAAGGAUGAAAAGGCAACAGACUUUGGUCGGUUUCUUGGCCAAGAAACCAAAACUGGCACAACAACCAUCAGAAUUGGCCUUGGAUGAUCCAAAACUAUCACAAGCACCACAAGCACCACCAUUUCCACCACUUGAACUUGGACUCGGAGAAAGCAGCAAGUCAAGUAUUGAGUCACCCGAGCCCAAAAUUGAAAUAAUUCUUCCUGACUGCUGGACAUUGCAACAGUACAGCAACUUCCAAGAGAAGUAUGAGGGAUUGGAAGUUUCAAACAAGAAACUAGGUUGCAAGUACUGUGUGACACAUGAGUUCACAAUAGAGAGCAGUGUUCAUGUGUCCAAAGAAUGGAAGCAUUUCAAGAUUGAGGCAUCUGGGAAAAAUAAGGAAGUGCAGCAUGCGUCUCUAAGGAAGAAAAUGAGAGAACAUUUCACAUGGAAAUCGCACACCAUUUGUAGAGACAACGUAAAACAAGGGGAGCAGGAUGCCAUAACAAAAGCUAUGGGCAAGAUAUCUGAAAAGUGUUUAGGCACCACUUGUAAAAUGUUCAAAACUGUUUACAGCCUGGCAAAAGCAUGUAGACCAAUUUCAAGCAUAGAAGAAUUGAUAGAAUUUCAAACUGAAAAUGGAGUAGAUUUGGGAAUAGGAUUGCAUUCAAGGCCAACAGUUGUGAAAAUAGUUGAGUGCAUUGCAAAUGAAAUUAAAACCGAAAUGUUUACCAGCAUCAUUGCACAGAAUCUGAAAAUAUGUUUGAUCAUUGACAAAGCAUCAACAGUAUCCUGCAAACCAGUUUUGAUAGUUUUCGUAAAAGUUGAGGACUCAGAGAACCCACCAACAAUUUUUGUUGAGCUUGUUGAAUUGAAGAAACAAGAUGCAGAGACAAUAUGUUCUGCAGUUCUGGAAAGUUUACGCAAAGUUGGGUUUACCCAGAACUACCUACAAAAAAAUUUAAUAGCGUUUUGCUCUCAUGGUGCCAGCGUUAUGCUUGGGAGAAAAUCUGGAGUGAGCACUAGAAAGCAAAAGAGUUUCCAAACAUCAUCAUAUGGCUUGAACCAUCGCCUCCUACUUGUUUUAGAUGACACCAUAAAGGAAAUAAAGCAAGUAAAUCAUUUUAAAAUAUUUAUAGAUAAGAUAUGUUCUAUUUUUCAGCAAUCCAAUAAAAACCGAAUUGAACUUGACAAAAUAUCUGAAGAACUUGACAUUAACAUCGUAAAGAUUGGUAGAGUUUUUGGGGCAAGAUGGGCUGCCUGUAACUUAUGGGCAACCCUAGCUGUAUUGGCGUGCUUAUCCAGCGCUACAUCAGUAUUUUCAUGCGAAUGCAAAAUACUCGGGUAUGGCUGCCCGUCUGGAAAAUAAAUAUUUUCUAAAUGAUUUGGCAUUGAUGAUCUAUAUUCUGGAAGAAAUCUCACUUCUUUCAACUGCACUGCAAGCAAGUAAUACGGACAUAAUAAAGGCUGAAAAACUGGUGAGAAGAUCAAUGAAAGCAUUUGAACUGCUUACAAAGGGAAAGGGUCCAUAUGAAAGAAAAGUUGAUGGACUAAUUACUUCAGAAACCUUCAAAAAUAUAAACUUUGUAGAAAAUCAUCGAUUUGUUGGACUUCAUUGGGAAAGACUUUUAGGAAGCAUCAUAACAAAUUUGCAGAAAAGACUAAUGGACUAUGAACAUUUAAAAACAGGUAGCCAAUUGCAGGACACCAUGAAUAAAUUACAGUUUCUACAUUUUUUUGGUGCCAGAGUACUGGGAUUUUGCAGAAGUAGUAGUUUCAGGGACAGCAGCUGAAGAACAACUGCGCACAUUUGGUGACAUUUUCAAUUACAACAUUAACAUCAACGACUAUAGAGAUUUUGUGGAGAAUAUGUUAAAAGAUUCGAAGAACUAUGCAAUUCCUGACAGUAUUAAAAAGCUAAAGAUAUUGUCAGAACAAUUGCUAUAAGUUCUUCAGAAGCGAAAAGGGUUUUUUUGAAAAUGAACAUCAUAUGUUCAGAGAGUAGAAGUCACCUAACCGUUUCUAAUUUAACCAACCUCAUGACUAUCAAUAUUACUGGACUACCUCUUCCAAAAUGGGACCCUAUUCCUGCAGUGAAAAAGUGGUUAAGAGAACACCAUCGCUCAGCCGAUGAUCCGAGAAUCAAGCUCAAGAAAAGUAGAAGUGAGUGCCAAUGAAAAAACGAUGUGGAAACAUCUUAAAAUUAAAGAGUAACACUUUUAUGUCAUUAUUAUCAUUGGUGCAAAGAAGUGACAUCAAAGACAACACUUUUAUUGCUCUUACGUCAUAAGGGCAAAGAAGUGACGUCAACUUGGCCAUGCCCACUUGGUCACAUGACCACCAAGCCACGCCCACUUGGUCACAUAGCCACCAAGCCACGCCCACCUGGUCACAUGGCCACCAAGCCAUGCCCAUGCCCACCCAGUCACAUGACUACCAAUCCACACCCACAGAACCGGUUUGAUCUCGUCGCCUGGCUCUGCAAGAGGCAGAGGUCUCCCGAAGCCCGGAGCAGCAGCGAAGGAAAUAGGGAGCCUCAUCCUGCUUCGUCCCCAAGAGUAAAAGAAAAACUCUGGGGACUUUGCAGAGGGCUCUACCUGCCCUCACCUGCUCUAUCUCACAUUUCCUUAUGGAAAUGGAGUUUUUCGAGCCGCCUUUCAGAUGUAAAGGCGGCUCUUUACGAGCGACGGGGCUGGGGGUCUCAAAGGACCGUCUGAUGGCAACGGAAGUCAAACCGGAAGCUGAGUUGAAGAUAUUCUUUAGUGUGAAUAAAAAAGAAGAUACAUCAAUACAAAACCUUUGGGACACGCUAAAGGCAUACAUCCGUGGACGGACAAUGGCUUAUAACGCAAGGAAGAAGAAGGAAAGGAAAUGUCAACAAGAAAAACUACAGAAAGAACUUUAAAAGUUAGAAAGAAAAUUACAGGAAGAUUCCCAAAAUAAAAAAAUAAAAGAGGAAUGGAAUAUAGACAUAAAAUAAAUUUAACAAUCCAAAUGGAAAUAGUGCAGAAAAUAAAGAUGUCAAAACAAAAAAAAUUUGAACAUGUGAAUAAAACGGGUAGAUGAUUGGCCUAUAAAUUAAAAAAAGAUAAAAGAAUGAUAUAUCAAUUGAAAGAUGAAAAUGGAAUAACCCAAAACAAAAGGGAGGACAAAAAGGAAAUUAUACAAAAGUUUUUCUCAAAUCUAUACUGCCAGGAAGAGAUAGCAGAAGAAAAAGUUAAAGACUAUAUAGAGGGAACAAACUUGUGUAAAAUUACGGAGGAACAACAAGAAAUACUAAAUAGACCGAUAACUGAAACAGAAUUUGAUAUGGCAAUGAGAAAAUAAACAAAACACCGGACCCGGACGGACUCCCAGUAGAGUUAUAUAAAAAUACUCAAGAAAUGCUGGGGUGGGGGGGGGAAUGAUGUUGGAAAUAUUCAAUUUGAAUAUUGAAGGUGUUUUAGGUGGAUGUUUUAGGUGUAUUUUAGGCAAAUACACCUAAAACAUGGACAGAAGCAAUAAUCACCCUUAUUCCCAAAGAGGAUACAGAUCAUCAACAAAUACAGAACUACAGACCAAUAUCAUUGUUAAAUACUGAUUACAAGAUAUUUAUGUCAAUCAUAGCUGAAAGAACAAAAAAAAUCUUCAACAAACAUACAUUCAGAUCAAAAUGGUUUCCUGCCAGGUCGACAAAUUAAAAACAAUAUGAGAACAAUAAUAAAUACCCUAGAGUUUUGUGAAGCAAAUCUGGAAAAACAAGCUUCACUGGUUUUCCUUGAUGCCCAAAAGGCAUUUGAUAAUUUGAACUGGAAAUUUAUGUUAAAUCAAUUGAAAUUUAUGGAAUUUGGGACUAAAUUUGAAAAUAUGAUUGGAAAGAUUUACACAAAACAAACGGCGAGGGUAAUCAUGAAUGAAGAUAUGACAGGGAAAUUCCAUAUAACAAAGGGGGCGAGACAAGGAUGCCCACUUUUUCCACUUCUAUUUAUAUUAACUUUAGAAACACUUUUGAAGAGAAUUAGAGAAGAUCAAGAAAUAAAAGGGUUAAAGAUAAAGACAGAAGAAUAUAAGCUUCAGGCUUUUGCCGAUGAUUUGGUGUUUAUAGUGGAGGAACCAUUAGAACAGGCCCAAAAUUUAUUUAAAAAAUAGAAGAAUUUGGCAAAGCAGCGGGACUUAAAAUUAAUAAAAAUAAAUCUAAAUUAUUAACUAAAAAUCUUACAAAGAUACAAGAGAAGGAAUUAGAAUGCAGUACAAAAAUUCAAAUAACCAAGAAAAUAAAAUUUGCCUUACGUAAAGGGAUUUGCCUUACUGCAAGAUGCUCCUCAAUUAAGGAAGACAAUUAUGACAAAUUACUACUGCAAAUUAAAAAAGAUUUAGACAAUUGGAAAAAUUUACAAAUUUCAUUUAUAGGAAGGAUCAUUAUGAUCAAAAUGAAUAUUUUGCCCAAAAUACUAUUCCAAGUUAUACCAGUAAAAUUAGAGAAGACUUUCUAUGAAACAUUAAAUAGAACAAUUACCAAAAGUAUAUGGCAAGGAAAAAGACUGAGAAUUAGAUUAAAAACAUUGCAAGACACAAAAGAUAGAGGAAGAGUAGCACUCCCAGAUUGGGAAAUAUAUUAUCAAGCAUCUUGUAUAACCUGGCUGAAAGAAUGGAUGGAGUUAAGGGACAAAAGAACAUUAGUGAUUGAAGGGCACGAUUUGCAAGUGGGAUGGCAUGCAUUCCUUUGGGACGAAAAAUAUAAAAUACAUGGCUACUUUAGAAGACACAUACUAAGGAAUGCAUUGCUACAAAUUUGGAUCAAGAUUAAAAAAACAUUACACAAAAAUACCCAUUUGGAUUUCACCUACAGAAAUAUUAAAACAUCCAAAUUUAACUGAGUGGGACAAGAUAAUAAGAUAUAGAGAUAUAUUAAAAGAACAAGGAAAUCUGAAAACAAAACGAAUUGGAACAAGAUCUAAAUAGAGAAGUCGAUUGGACAUAUAUGCAAAUUCGGUCGAAAUAUAAAGAAAAAAAAUUAAAUGCGAUACACACUGAACAAAAUGAGUUGGACAAAAUUAUACAAGGGAUGGAGGAGAAAUUAAUCAGUAGAAUAUACAAAUUUUUGCUGCGAUAUAAAAUGGAAGAAGAAAUAGUUAAGGAUACAAUGAUUAAAUGAGCAAAAACCUUUAACCACACAAUAGAAUUGGAGAAAUGGGAAAAAAUGUGGCAAAUAAGGAAAACCAGUUGAAGAUGUUUCAGAGAUGGCAUCUACCCCUGGCUAGACUUGCAAAGAUGUGUCCGAGUAAAUCUCCAGUGUGUUGGAAAUGUAACGAGCUAUGGAACACACUACCACCUUUGGUGGACAUGUCCAGCUGCAAAGAAGUUCUGGGCUAAAAUUAAAGAAUGGCUAGAAAAAAUAAUAAAACAACCUAUAAGCGGAAAACCAGAGACAUUCUUAUUAGGGAUAUUUACGGAAAAAUAUACCAAGGAAAUAAAAUAUUUGAUCUUACACAUUAUAACAGCUGCCAGUAUAGUAUAGGGACAAAACUGGAAAAAACCCCGCAUGUAAUUAAAAUGCCUUAUUUUUAUGCUUUCUUUAAGAAAAAUAUGUAUAUGUAUGAUCAAUUAUGUAUAAGAGAAUGUACAUUUACAUUGUGUGUACAAGAAAUAAAAAUUUAAAAAAAAUCAAAA